CAGCCACAGCAGCAACAUGGCGGCACCCAUCCUUAGCAACGGAGACUCCUGGAAAGGCCUAAACUUUGUAAUAAGAGGAUGUUGCAAACCUUAAGAGUGGAGAUAUAGCAUAAAUCUUUACAUCUGUAAGAAGAGUAACGUCGUUGCCCAAAAAUCUGUGCCCAAUCGGAUAAAAAGGUUCGUUUUAAGACCACCUAGUCCCAGCUACCGUGGACAGAAGCACCUGCAGCAAUGAAAGCUGUUGACUUAAGUGAAGAAAACUUGGAAGAUCUCUUGGCCUAUGAUGACUUGUUUCUGGACUAUUUCAAUGCAUUCCUAGCCCUUCCUGCGUUUCCACAAGCCUUCUACUAUGACCGACUAACUGGUACGUUCCGUGAGGUUGAAGGCUCCUACAGCAGUGUUAACAGUAGUGUGGUGCUCCCAGAUCAUGCUCCGUAUGGUGCCACUGAUGAAGAGAGGGAACAUAUGCUAGAAUGGGCCAAACAAGAAAGAUUGCCUUUAUUUCUGAGAACCAAACUCUUCCGUGAGUUCAAGCUGUGCAAGCUCCUUCUGCGUAGCCUUGACGACAGGUAUUCCGCGGGAAGAGUGAGCAGUAAUGCCCUGAGAGGGUACAGUCGCCAGACGGGGACCUCUGUGUCCAGUCUCAGUAACAGUGCUGACAACAGUGCCAAUGAAGCAUCUGACUAUGAAGACAAUAUCAGCUGGACUGAAGUGAGGAAGUCGGCUCUAUAUAGAUAUGAGAGGCCAGGCAGUAGGGCACUAAGUCUGCCACCCAAGUUGGGUUUGGGUGAAAUGUCAGCGUCAUCGACUGGAGACCAGUGGUAUCUGGAUGACAUGACAGACAACAGAAGGAGACUGGAGGACAACAGCAAGACACCUAAAAGUGCUUCUGGCAAGAAAUCUAGGGGCCCCUCUCAGUCUCAGACUCCAGGCCUUGGCUUCCAGGGAGUAACAGACUCGGGCAUGGGGACUUCUCUGGAGCUGGAGAAAACUCUAACUACUAGAACUGAAACUUUAGCUUCCAUCAAUGAAAACGAGCAAGCUUACCCUUCUAAUGAGAAAAAAUCAAAAGAAAGGAGCUUAUCAAAACAGACUAGAGAUAGCACAACAUUGAGCAAAUUCUCAAAGAGAGAGAAAAAUAAAAGGGCUAUCUCUGCUCCAGUGAACUACAAUGAGUUCAUGAGGAUACCAACGUACAGUGACUUUGAUGCCAUAUUUGGCGAAGAGGAACCUGAUGAUGUAGAUGGAGAGGUUUAUGUCGCCUUCAAUGAGGAAGUUGUCAGCGAGCAACAGACAGAGACAGAUGUCCGCAAACUGGAGGGAAAACAUAACAUGACUCUACAGCAGAUGAAAGAAAUGGUGCUCAGUACAUUGGUUGGUUUUGAGGAUCUAAAAGCUUUCCUCCAAGAUACUUCCGGAAUACAUCUUCUGAAUUUCUGGCUUGACUGUGAAUUCUUCAAAGAUUCCAUGGAAGAUUAUGAUGAUAUGACUAACAUGGCAGUCAGAAACAGGCUGUUCAGGGACAUUCAGGACAAGUACAAAAUCAACUUGACAGAAGAUGCCCAAAUUCAGCUGAGGAAGACAGCAAGCAGCUCCAGUCUUAGUCACACCAUCUUUAUCCGUACUCAGUAUAAUGUACUGAGAAGACUGAGAGCAUACUGGGUGCCCAGAUACCUCAUACACAAGGAGAGGAUGGAUGAACUCAGUUCUAAACUUAAAAAGUACAAGUUCAUGGCCAGUGACUUAAACCUCGCAGCAGCCAACAAGGAAUUGUCUUCCUCCUUUCUUCCCUCCAUCUCUGUGGUGAACUCUCUGCCAGUGAAACCAGAUGAGAUACUUCACAUUGCCCAGACACGACAGUGGGACUUUGUUAUCAAGAGUGGCCGCCAAUGGGACGAUAGAGUUAGGUCAGCCAGGGUUAGGUUUAUACCCAAAGCACCACACAGGACCAUGCGUGAUAAGUUGCUGAUUGCUCUGUCUGCUGAUAAAGCUGCUGGAGGACCAUUUCAGAGAUACCUGGAAAAACAACAGAACCCAGAAUUACUUGCCAAUCAUUUAUUCUGGCAAGAUGUGUCAGAGUACAGUGCUGAGGAAGAUAGAUCUGCUGAUCGUCUGCUUCGGAUGACUCAUGCCUGGGGAAUAUACAACAAAUAUAUUGGAGGAAAUGUUAUUUAUAGUAUAAACAUGGAUCCCAAAGAAAGAGAUGUGCUUCAUCAGCAGUUAAUGGGUGCCAAAGAUUUCAUAGAAGCUUCAGUGUUCAACAGUGCUCAAGACCAUGCUGUUGAUGUGCUAGAGCAAGCCUGGGUGAGGUACCUGAAGGAGGAUCUCAAAACUUUUUUAGAAGUUCAAGCACGCUCUCAAGAAUCGGACUUUGAUUCCAUACACACAGCUGAGGAGAUAGAGGUUUCACUUGAAAAUGAACAGUUAGUUGUCAAGAGGUUCCAGAGGCCUUGGGUUAGGAGAGGAGAGAAUGGGAGCAGAUCACCUGGCUCUACUGGCUCAGAACGUGGUAGACGGCUAAGAACAGCUCUCUCAGUAGCUGAGGAAAUAGAUGAAGCCAGAAAGGCAGAAAAGAAGAAAAAAGCUUUAGAGAGAAGGAAAAAAAUGGAAAAAGAGCGUCGCAAAGCACUACGUGCAGCACGGGCAAGGCAAAGAGAGGCUAAGAGAAACAAAAAUGCACCAAUCAUUGAGCACAUCCCAGAAGAGAAAAAGGAGGGUGAAGAAGAAGAGGAUCAGGGUGAAAGAUUGUCUCCAGGGGGCCACUCUUUGUAUGGAGAUAUGGGGGGUGGAGGAUUGACCCCACCCCCUGUCCUAGAAGACAAACCUGUAGAACUCAAGGAUAUGGUCGGAAAUAAGCAGAUAAUCAAUAUGUUCAAGAAACACAUCCAGGAAAGCGAACCAAAAGAAAAACUGAAUAUGUUAAAUCUAUACUUGGACAUAGACUCUUUCCUGGCAAUUGAAGGAGGGAGCAAAAAGAAGAAGGAUGUUCAAGCUUCAUAUAUUUUUAAGAAUUACCUUGAGCAAGGUCAUGCUAGAAAAUUUGUGAAGAUAUCUGACUCUGCAUAUGCCAAAGUGUCCAAGGAAAAGGAAAGGCCAAAGACUCCCACAAUCAAGGAAAUCAGAGAUUCUUUGUAUCCAAACAUUGAUGCAACUUUUAAAGAAUUUUGGCAGAAAAAUGAAAGCACAGGCACAGAUCUGAAAAACCUGAACUCCAUGUCAAAGGCAGAGCUAGCCAUGAGGUCUGACAGUGACUUGCAGUUCACUUGGAAAUCUAAAAAAGGAAAACAAAAGAGCACUGGAAGACAUCAACCAACCAAGGAUGACAAGGUGGAGUUUCUCAUGAAUCUGAACCAAUCAGUGCUGGGGCAAAUGCCAAUUAGAAUGUGGUUCUUCUACAAGUAUUUGGUCAAACAUGGAGAGGACGAGAAUGUCCCUCACCUAGAAAAGGAUUUGUUUUUCUACAUUGAAGUUCAGAAAUUCAAGGAGAUGAGUCAUGCAUACUCUGAUGAAGAAUUAUUAAGGCGAAAGGUUGCAACUUUAAAUCUGUGUUACCUGGAAUCCAACAUUCCCCCUGCACUGCAGAUUGGAAUUUCAAAUGACGUUCAUCAGAAGACCUUACGUGCAGUGCAACGUUACCUAGGCAACAAGGAAAUGGUGUCAGCCAUAUUUGAUGAAGCCCAGUAUCAUGUCUUCAAGGAAUUGUUGCCGUGGUGGGCAGGUUUUAUCAGGCAAUACACUCCACCUGCAGAUGAGAAGAAAAGACCAUUGACCAAGCAACAAAAAAUGUUCAAAAAGCGUUUGGAAAUGUUUGAGCAAAUGGAUGUGCCAAAAACCCAGUUUGUUCUUCCUCACAUUCCUCAAGGCAGUGUGCAGGCUUUCUCUUUCUCCCUCAGUGACGGAGUCAAAUGGAGGAAAAAUGUAUCCUAUGAAGAGCAAAUGUUGAUUGGCCUUGGUCCUGCCAUUCAUGUGACAUCAGCGGUAAGAUGAUGACCAUGUUGUCAUCGAGUUACCAUCAUCACAGUUAUGAUUGUUCUUGCAAAUCACUGUAUAACUCAUCAAUUCACCCUUUAAGUACUGACCUUCAGUAAUUUGGCAUUGACAUUUGGUACUUCAUCAGUAAAUGAACGAAAAUUUAUGAAAACUUUACAUGUCUGUGUAUUCUGUCACCAAUUAUCCUUCAGAAUUUAACAACAUGCCAAAUUGUUGAAAUUGUUAAUACUGCAUGUAUGUUCUGGAGAUAUAUGAAAUAUGAAACAGUUUUGGAAAUAAUCUACAAUAAUAAUUGUGCCAUUUCUGUUUGUUUGAGUAUCAUACUCAAGCUUUCAUUUUAUUGGAUUUUCUCAACUGGAUUUUAAAAGCAAGAUAGCAUCUCUGAACAUGCAAGGGAACACAGUACAUAAUUAAGGGUGGCAAUUAACUUCACUUGCUUUAAGCUUGUGCCAGUCACCAGUGAAAUAUAUAUAUGUUCAACACACAUGUAUACUCAUAAUUGUGAUCUCAGAUAUUAUACAUGUACACAUUGUAUUCAAAGAACAUAAUAGGGUACUAUUUUUCAAGAAAGGGAUGUGAUGUCUUUAUUUCUUUGGAUAUGAGCCACAUGGGAUCUAUUUUGAAAAACUUUUAAAAAAGUGUGACUACCUGAUAUUAUGUUUAAAGUUUUAAUAAAAAUAUAUUUCAGGUACUCUUUUAAAAUUCAUUUUAUGAUCCUUGACAUACAAAAAUACCCUGUAUGUUUAAACAAAUAACCUUGGACAAAAAUUUUCUGUCAUGAAAUAAAGCUGAAAUAUCAAAGCUCACAAUUACCCAUUUCUUUAUAAUUACUUUCUCUGAUUAAUAAAAUAUUUAGUGAUACAGUUGUCAAACAAUCUUGUUUUUAAGCUGCUUCUGUUAUUCAUAAUGUCACAAAUGCAAGAGGUUUUAACUAUUAUUGUUGUCAUCUUUUUGAAACCAUGAAAUGAAGAUGACAAAUGUUCACUUUUGGUGUAUAUUAUACAUGUUUUAUUGUAUUCACUGUUUUUUUCUACAGUUUGUACUUUCAGGUGUUUUAUCUUGUGAAUAGGUUGCACACAUGUACAGCUCUUCAUGUAUUGAUAUAUCACUUUUGCUUAUUAAUUUCACAUCACAUUGCUCAAUGAACUAAUCGUUGUAUUUUGUUCAUAUCCAGGUUUUAUAAAAACAUAUGCACUAACUUGAAAAUGUUGCACAUAUUAACAGUUUACAAAAAUGGAAUCCAGGAAGCACAUACAUGUCAAUUCCAGGAUAGUAAAAAAGAAUGGAAUACAUGUGCUUCAUAAUGCUAUCCAUAUACCUUGAAUUUCAGGGUGCUCAUUCAGUGAUGUUGAUAUUCAAGAAAGUCACUGUGAGUGCUCCCAAACUCAGGGUGUAAACAUGAGGUCAAUUCUGCUCUCAGAGAUGGAAAAAAUGUUUACUGGAUUCCCUUUUUUUUAACUUUUAUAUUUGAUUGCGUAUUUGUGCACUCUGUUGGAAUAUUGGGACACAGGUUGGUUGCAGGGUGCUAACAAGUUUGCAUGAAUUUGUGGUAUAGGAUAUGUUUUACAUUUGUGGCACCUAUUGGCACUCAUCGCACCUGUUUUACCCAAAUAAUGUUGUGCUGAUAGAUAAAUACAUGUUUGUUUCAGGAAAUUGAUAAUACUACCCCCCAGCAGAGUGAUGCUGCAACCACCAAAGGAAAUCGACUACGGACAGAUUCACAGCAGUCCAGAGUGAC
This 5728-nucleotide unclassified non-coding RNA is filed under the name Lingula anatina. Its description in RNAcentral is "uncharacterized LOC106156055, transcript variant X1". The record is from RNAcentral. Lineage: Eukaryota; Metazoa; Brachiopoda; Lingulata; Lingulida; Lingulidae.